Molecule: unclassified non-coding RNA, 320 nt
Organism: Dipodomys ordii (Ord's kangaroo rat)
Lineage: Eukaryota; Metazoa; Chordata; Mammalia; Rodentia; Heteromyidae
Gene: 7SK
Rfam family: 7SK RNA
About the family: 7SK was discovered as an abundant small nuclear RNA in the mid-70s but a possible function has only recently been suggested. Two independent studies have found that 7SK RNA binds the CDK9/cyclin T complex (known as elongation factor P-TEFb).
Source: Ensembl
GGAUGUGAGGGCGAUCUGGCUGCGACAUCUGUCACACCAUUGAUCGCCAGGGUUGAUUCGGCUGAUCUGGCUGGCUAGGCGGGUGUCCCCUUCCUCCCUCACCGCUCCAUGUGUGUCCCUCCCGAAGCUGCGCGCUCAGCCGAAGAGGACGACCAUCCCCGAUAGAGGAGGACCGGUCAAGGGUAUACGAGUAGCUGCGUUCCCCUGCUAGAACCUCCAAACAAGCUCUCAAGGAAAAAAUCAUAUUAAUUUAAGUAAGGCCGAAAGAAACAUAGGUCCCAUGGUUUCCCUUACUAGCAAUAACUAGUAUAAGUUUAGGA